This 518-nucleotide unclassified non-coding RNA is filed under the name Hevea brasiliensis (rubber tree). Lineage: Eukaryota; Viridiplantae; Streptophyta; Magnoliopsida; Malpighiales; Euphorbiaceae. The record is from RNAcentral.
AUGGAACUGAAAUCUUAUUGAAUAAAGAAAAGGUCUAUAUAUAUACGAGGAAGGAAGAGAGCUAAUGUAACAAAAAAGAAAAUAAAACUACUUUAAUAAUCUUCUCGUGGGUAAUUUGAUCAACCUACUGCGCAUCAUUUUACCCAAGGCCCAAACGCACCGUAUGAAUAAAUAAGCUUUACAUCCUUCCCCCAUGUAUUGUGCAGCUCUAUUGUCGCAGUGAAGCUUUAUGGGCAAUGAUAGUUGAAUAUGAAACUCUUGGAGAAUGUAAGUGAUCCAUUGGAGUUCACAAACAAUUGCAGCCAUGCUACGAUAUUCUGCCUGAGCUGAGGACCUGCUUACUGUAGUUUGCUUCUUGGAUUUCCGAGAGAUAAGACAGAAUCCAUCAUCAGUGUUAAGCUUUAAACCUUAUGGCAUUGGGAAAUUAGCAAUCUUGGCUUGUGUAAGCCCUGCAUCAUUGAUAAUGUCAAGAACAUUAGAUGAUCUUGCAAUCUACAGCCCAAAAAAGUACUUAACAU